ACAAAGAGCAGCAAGUUCGCGAGGACAAGCAAAUCUCAUAAACCGUGGCUCAGUUCAGAUCGUAGGCUGCAACUCGCCUACGUGAAGGAGGAGUCGCUAGUAAUCGCAGGUCAGCAUACUGCGGUGAAUACGUUCCCGGGCCUUGUACACACCGCCCGUCACACCAUGGAAGUUGGCCACGCCCGAAGCCGUUACUCCAACCCUUGUGGAGGAGGACGUCGAAGGUGGGGCUGAUGACUGGGGUGAAGUCGUAACAAGGUAUCCGUACCGGAAGGUGCGGAUGGAUCACCUCCUAAC
This 297-nucleotide ribosomal RNA is filed under the name uncultured Synechococcus sp. RNAcentral describes it as "partial 16S ribosomal RNA". It matches the Rfam family "Bacterial small subunit ribosomal RNA", at positions 1239 to 1533 of the family's 1533-position model. The record is from RNAcentral. Lineage: Bacteria; Bacillati; Cyanobacteriota; Cyanophyceae; Synechococcales; Synechococcaceae.